Pomacea canaliculata is the source of this 975-nucleotide long non-coding RNA. RefSeq lists it as uncharacterized. The record is from RefSeq and is a predicted model, not a curated record. Lineage: Eukaryota; Metazoa; Mollusca; Gastropoda; Architaenioglossa; Ampullariidae. The transcript is spliced from 2 exons.
UUGGAUAGGCAAUAUGGCGGACGUCAUGUUCUCGUGCUUGAAUGUAACGUAAACAAACCUUAUGCCUGCGAGCCUUCUGUCUGAAAAGACAAUGUCAAGAGCAUCCAAGAUUACGCUCGGUGUAUCUGUUACCUUUACGGCUAGCAUAAUAGCUUAUGUCCAUUCUUGGCAGAAGAAGGAGAAAGAGCGACUUCGUCAGGGGGUAAUCUUUGACUUGGAAAGGCAAGAACAGAAAAUAAAGAAUCUGGCAGACAAGGAGAAGCAGACACAAUCAACUGAAACACAUCAAGAACAAGAGUGGCAAAUGUCAGAACAAGUGAAUAGACAGAAAAUGACUGCAAACUCGGGGUAGCUUACAUUAAGUCUUAUAAUGGUAUUUCUUAAGACAAAAUAUGUCACAAAAGUUAGUGGCAAAAGUCUUAUGUUGAAAGUAUGCUUGUCUGAUCUUAAAUGAACAAUAGAUAUUUAGAGUAAUGGAUUCAUUUGUAUGUUACAGAAUAGAUUUGGGGUGUUAUCAACUCAGAAUGAACCAAUUUCCACAUUUAAAACAAGUGUUGACUGUUUUGUAUCAAAAACAAACAUCCAUUGAGUCUUAUAUGGCAAGAAAUAAAUAUUAUUUCCAUGAGUGAACAGUGUAUAUUUAUCAUAACUAUGAUAAUUCCAAGAUGUUUAGAUUCUUUGUUGAAUGGUUCUAUGAUCUAACUGCAAUGCUUGUGUAUGACCAGUGUUUGAUUUUGGUGGCUACAGUAUGAAAUGGUAUUCUUGCAUUUACAUUCAAGGUUGCAUGAAAGAUUCUUGUUUAUAGAUGUUACACUUUUGUCUAUGCCUGUAACAAGACUUUUGUAAUUGCAUGUAUUUUAGCUAAUGUACAACAAGACAUUAAUAACGAGUAAACACAACAAAAUGUUAUUACUGCUUGUCAUUGACACCGAAGAUAUGUCAUAAGCUGUAUUUUGAAUUGCAGAGUUCUAAAAG